This 379-nucleotide RNase P RNA is filed under the name Bacteroidota bacterium. RNAcentral describes it as "Bacteroidetes bacterium RNase P RNA component class A". It matches the Rfam family "Bacterial RNase P class A". From Rfam's summary of the family: Ribonuclease P (RNase P) is a ubiquitous endoribonuclease, found in archaea, bacteria and eukarya as well as chloroplasts and mitochondria. Its best characterised activity is the generation of mature 5'-ends of tRNAs by cleaving the 5'-leader elements of precursor-tRNAs. The record is from RNAcentral. Lineage: Bacteria; Pseudomonadati; Bacteroidota.
AAGACAGGCUUUCCUGCCGCUAUGUCAUUUAGUAAAUGACAGAGAGGAAAGUCCGGGCAACAAAGGGCAGCAUACUUCCUAACAGGAAGCUGUUAUUGCAUCCUUGAUGCAGUAACAAGAGAAAGUGCCACAGAAAAUAACCGCCCUGCUAUGCGGGGUAAGGGUGAAAACGUGAGGUAAGAGCUCACGCCACAGCAGAGUGACCUGCCGUGGGGGUAAACCUUAUGCGUUGAAAGGCCAAAUAUACCGGGGGUUGAGGGUGGCCCGCCCGAUCCCGGAGGGUAGGCCGUUAGAGGGCAGAUGCAAAUCUGCUCCCAGAUAAAUGGCAGGAAUUCCUAUUGUGGGAAUACAGAACCCGGCUUAUAAGCCUGUCUUUUUU